UGGGGAAUCUUGGACAAUGGGGGCAACCCUGAUCCAGCCAUGCCGCGUGAGUGAUGAAGGCCUUAGGGUCGUAAAGCUCUUUCGCCUGUGAAGAUAAUGACGGUAGCAGGUAAAGAAACCCCGGCUAACUCCGUGCCAGCAGCCGCGGUAAUACGGAGGGGGUUAGCGUUGUUCGGAAUUACUGGGCGUAAAGCGCACGUAGGCGGACCAGAAAGUUGGGGGUGAAAUCCCGGGGGCUCAACCCCGGAACUGCCUCCAAAACUAUUGGUCUAGAGUUCGAGAGAGGUGAGUGGAAUUCCAAGUGUAGAGGUGAAAUUCGUAGAUAUUUGGAGGAACACCAGUGGCGAAGGCGGCUCACUGGCUCGAUACUGACGCUGAGGUGCGAAAAGUGUGGGGAGCAAAACAGGAUUAGAUACCCUGGUAGUCCACACCGUAAAACGAUGAAAUGCCCAGUCGUCGGGUAGCAUGCUAUUCGGUGACACACCUAACGGAUUAAAGCA
RNAcentral lists this ribosomal RNA (500 nucleotides) under uncultured bacterium. Its description in RNAcentral is "bacterial SSU rRNA". It matches the Rfam family "Bacterial small subunit ribosomal RNA", at positions 355 to 866 of the family's 1533-position model. The record is from RNAcentral.